UUGACCUCAAAUCAGGUAGGACUACCCGCUGAACUUAAGCAUAUCAAUAAGCGGAGGAAAAGAAACUAACAAGGAUUCCCCUAGUAACUGCGAGUGAAGCGGGAAAAGCUCAAAUUUGAAAUCUGACGGUUCUUGAUCGUCUGAGUUGUAAUCUAGAGAAGUGUUACCUGUGCUGGACCGUGUUCAAGUCUCCUGGAAUGGAGCAUCAUAGAGGGUGAGAAUCCCGUCUUUGACACGGACUGCCUGUACGCCGUGGUGCGCUCUCAAAGAGUCGAGUUGUUUGGGAAUGCAGCUCAAAAUGGGUGGUAAAUGCCAUCUAAAGCUAAAUAUUGGCGAGAGACCGAUAGCGAACAAGUACCGUGAGGGAAAGAUGAAAAGUACUUUGGAAAGAGAGUUAAACAGUACGUGAAAUUGCUGAAAGGGAAACGCUUGAAGUCAGUCGUGUCAGCCAGAAAUCAGCCUUGCUUUUGCCUGGUGUACUUUCUGGUUUGAUGGGUCAGCAUCAAUUUUGGCCAUCGGACAAAGUCUUUGGGAAUGUGGCAUCUUUGGAUGUGUUAUAGCCCAUUGUCGCAUACGGUGGUUGGGAUUGAGGAAUUCAGCACGCCUCGCAAGGGGCCGGGUAUUUAUACCACGUUCGUGCUUAGGAUGCUGGCAUAAUGGCUUUAAUCGACCCGUC
This 676-nucleotide ribosomal RNA is filed under the name Inocybe mixtilis. RNAcentral describes it as "eukaryotic LSU rRNA". It matches the Rfam family "Eukaryotic large subunit ribosomal RNA", at positions 1 to 653 of the family's 3401-position model. The record is from RNAcentral. Lineage: Eukaryota; Fungi; Basidiomycota; Agaricomycetes; Agaricales; Inocybaceae.